GAGCCCGCAGCCCCGGACAUUGCGGCCGCAGCGGCUGGAGGGAGCUGUCAGUAGUGGCUCACGUGGAGAAGGUGCAACACUGAGGAAUCCACUUGUAGAUAAUGACUGCUGCCUCCUCAUGUGUCAUACAGGACAUGGUGCUCCUUUGGUGCCAGAUUCAGCAUGGACUUCCCUCUGGAAUCUGCGAGAGGUGUCACAGUGGAAAAUCACAGCAAGCCCUCUAACUAACAAGGUUAAGGGCUCAUGACUGCUUCACACUCCUGAAACCUUGUUUGAAGAUUUUACUUGUAACUAACAGUCUUUUAAAAGAUUUUCAAGAAAGUUAUGCCAUGACAGGAAGGUUCAACAAAAAAGGUACUGUAUUUCCAUCAUAAUGUGCCACCUGACAGCUGAAAAUGUCACUGUAUUUUUAAAACACAGAUAUGUGCAGAAUAAGCACUCACUUGGAUAGUCUUUAUGAGGAGGUAAAAUUCUUUUCAAUUGUAUUAAUUUUUUCUUGACUUUUACAGAAAUGUUUUAUAUAUUUUAUCGCAACUGUUUACUCAUCUCAAAGCAACAACAUUCUAGAACACAGAGUGCAUCAGCAUGGCAAGAUUUACUGCCUGGAGAAACGAAUUUUGUAAAUA
Long non-coding RNA from Nothoprocta perdicaria, 626 nucleotides. RefSeq lists it as uncharacterized. Lineage: Eukaryota; Metazoa; Chordata; Aves; Tinamiformes; Tinamidae. The record is from RefSeq and is a predicted model, not a curated record. The transcript has 2 exons.